ACUCAAAUGAAUAGACGGGGGCUCACACAAGCGGUGGAGCAUGUUGCUUAAUUCGAGGCAACGCGAAGAACCUUACCUGGGCUUGACAUGCAUGGAUUAACCCUCUGAAAGGGGGGCCACGCCCGCAAGGGUGGAACAUGCACAGGUGCUGCAUGGCUGUCGUCAGCUCGUGCUGUGAAGUGUCGGGUUAAGUCCCUUAACGAGCGCAACCCCUGUCGUUAGUUGCUCGGCGCAAGCCAGUACUCUAGCGAGACUGCCGGUGUCAAACCGGAGGAAGGUGGGGAUGACGUCAAGUCCUCAUGGCCCUUACGUCCAGGGUUGCAAACGUGCUACAAUGGUGCAUACAGAGCGACGCGAGGCCGCGAGGCGGAGCAAAUCGCAAAAAAUGCACCCCAGUUCGGAUUGCAGGCUGCAACUCGCCUGCAUGAAGUCGGAAUCGCUAGUAAUCGGAGAUCAGCUACGCUCCGGUGAAUAAGUUCCUGAGCCUUGUACACACCGCCCGU
Molecule: ribosomal RNA, 503 nt
Filed under: uncultured bacterium
Lineage: Bacteria
Description: partial 16S ribosomal RNA
Rfam family: Bacterial small subunit ribosomal RNA
Source: RNAcentral